ACCACAUAUUUUUUUUUAUUAUUAUUAUUUUCUUACUUUUUUUUUAUUGCAUAUUUAUUUCCAUCUUUCUUUCAUUUCAGGUGUCAGGUUACUGUGCAAGAGUGGUAUGAUUGACCUCAACACAAGUAUUAAGGCAAAAGGGAAUCAACUUUGUUUGAGGCCAGAUACAUGGAACGGUUCCACCAGUUAUUUGUUAUCCCACCCCGGCACACAACAGAAUGAAGGCGGCACUUUGAGCAGUCGCCGUCGUAACACAUGAUAGUGGACUCUAGGACUUUUGCACUAACUUGGUUAGAAAGAGUCUGCAUGCCACUGCGAGAGGGCGGUGGAAUAUCCAAAUCUGUCAACAGCAGCCGAGCUCUGGUGUUUCCAACCGGCAUGUCUAACAGUCCAGAUUGUAGGGUCAGAUUAAUAGCGGCUGCCUUUCUUCCUGGUUUGCCAGUUGGAAUCUCUUUAUACAACUUGUAGACAGGUCUACAUCUCAAAACCCGAUGACUUCCCGGACUGGCAUUAGUAGAAAGAUGAUGCAUAUGAAUUUCAUCCCUGAUCCGUGUGACACCUGUGGAAGUUGAGGGCAAAUCAUAAUCAGUUUGGGUUCCAGCCGAGGACCCCUGUAAACGUUGCUGUUUAGUGUUGACUUCAUGUCCGAGCUUGAAAAAGACAGCCUUGCGUUUAUUAUGGCCUCUCAUAUUGGAAGAUAACAUAAAUGGCUUGUAUGUUGACUGUUGUGCAUAUCUCUGGGUCAGGAAAGUUGUAGGUACCAUCAACAUUGUAAAUCAUUUGACAGACCAGAAUGGAGAGUGAGAACUAUGAUUGGUCAGUCAUGUAUCAGAUUCCAUACUAGGGGGUGGGGAUCAUAAAACUGUUGUAGUGUUACAUAAUCAGAUUAUCUGAACUUAAUUGUCCUAUGUAAAUACAGCUAUGUAGGAGACAUUUUAAAAUUUAUAGGCACUGCAUGUUUCAACAUCUUAGAUUUGACCACAAUUUUGCUCUUGAAACUGCGUUAAGAGAGAAAAACUAAGAUCUUUUCGACGAAAAUGUUAAAAAAAUCUAAUAUUACAUGAUAAUUACUGUUUUAAAGGAUUUUCUUGUUUGAUUUAUAUUGAAUUUUUGUUAUCUUUUUACAGAAUGCAUUUAUGUUCAAAAAUAAAAAUGUUCUGUUUAAUUCAAAAUUCAUGUGCUUUUAAAUUUCUGUCUGAAAUUCCGCAGUUUUCUGAUGUAUUAUAGUGUUUGCAGAAUGCUGCAAAGCUCAUCUGAAAAUGCAUAGAUUUUCAUAAUCUUUGGCCAGGGAAUUGCAUAUAUGUUUGUUUAUUAGAUAACAACAGAUUUGUUUAAACUGCAGAAACAUGUGAGGUAUAUAGGACUAAGACUAGUAAUUAUUUCCCUUUAUUUCAUGAUGGACGAAUGUAGUGCGAGUUAUAAAUAGACAAUUUUUCCCUUAAUUUUUUUCUCCCCUCUUCCUGCAUUUUUGGGUUGACUUUUUGGUCUAGAAUUGGAGAAAAGGGAUCAAAUUUGCAAUUUCAUAGCAGUUUUGGGUAAUACUGAUGAUAUUACAGCGGAGGGAUAGGGGGUGUAAAGUGUCUUUCUGCAGAGCAGUCAUUGUGUCGGAAGUGAGAUUUUCACCCCAGUCAACUUCAAAUCCGUGUAGCAAAAAAUCUAAAUGGUCAACCCCCUACAAAAUUAUGAUGAGGAGAUUGCCAAAUGUUGUCCCCAUUGUGCCUAUAAAGAUUGGAACCAACGGAAUGUUGAGAAAAAAGCUACAGCCUGUGAUGUUACAGCCAUUUAACAUUGAAGUCAAUGGGCAAAUAAUUACUAGUCUGAGUCCACUUGUAAAACAUGGUGAUUAUUUAUCUUGAUAACUUAUUUGUUUUUUGAUUAAAUGUUUUUGUUUUAAUAUUUUCAACAAUUCCUUGACCCAUGACUUAAAACAAAUUGAAUUGAGUUGAUCUGAUGAAUUAUGUAGAUUAGUUUAGGUUAAAUCCACUGAUCAUGAUUCUAGAGCCAUAUAAUUCCUUGCAAACUAUAAAAUUGUGAAGUUGAAUCUCUAAAUAGAAAUACAUGUCAAAUAAUGGUUCAGAUCCUUUCAGUAUUUAUAAAGAUAUGUGGAAUUGAAAUUUCAUCGAUUUAUACUGGGCGAAAAGGAUUAGACCAACAUUCUAGCAACGUUUAAACGUUUUCUACUUAUAUAAUAUUAAUUGAUAAUAAUUUUUCAAUGAAGGAUACCAAGUUAUAUUUAUUCCUUUCGUUGUAUUAAGGUCUACUAACAUUAUAUUGUUUUGUAAUGAACGAUACCAAGUUAAUAUUUAUUCCUAUCGUUGAAUAAUGCUAAUGUCUACUAACAUUAUAUUGUUUUGUAAUGAACCAUACCAAGUUAUAUUUAUUCCUUUCGUUGUAUUAAGGUCUACUAACAUUAUAUUGUUUUGUAAUGAACGAUACCAAGUUAAUAUUUAUUCCUUUCGAUGUAUUAGGGUCUACUAACAGUGCAUUAUAAUGUCCAUAUAUUUUGAUUUCUAACAGAAUAAAAUCAAUACGAUUAAAUGUUGGUUUUAAAAAGAAA
Patella vulgata (common limpet) is the source of this 2557-nucleotide long non-coding RNA. RefSeq lists it as uncharacterized. NCBI's taxonomy places the organism in Eukaryota, Metazoa, Mollusca, Gastropoda, Patellidae. The record is from RefSeq and is a predicted model, not a curated record. The transcript is spliced from 4 exons.